GUAGGUGGCAAGCGUUGUCCGGAAUUAUUGGGCGUAAAGCGCGCGCAGGCGGUCCUUUAAGUCUGAUGUGAAAGCCCACGGCUCAACCGUGGAGGGUCAUUGGAAACUGGGGGACUUGAGUACAGAAGAGGAAAGCGGAAUUCCAAGUGUAGCGGUGAAAUGCGUAGAGAUUUGGAGGAACACCAGUGGCGAAGGCGGCUUUCUGGUCUGUAACUGACGCCGAGGCGCGAAAGCGUGGGGAGCAAACAGGAUUAGAUACCCUGGUAGUCCACGCCGUAAACGAUGAGUGCUAAGUGUUAGGGGGUUUCCCGCCCCCUUAGUGCUGCAGCUAACGCAUUAAGCACUCCGCCUGGGGAGUACGGCCGCAAGGCUG
This 373-nucleotide ribosomal RNA is filed under the name uncultured organism. RNAcentral describes it as "partial 16S ribosomal RNA". It matches the Rfam family "Bacterial small subunit ribosomal RNA", at positions 527 to 896 of the family's 1533-position model. The record is from RNAcentral.